This 71-nucleotide transfer RNA is filed under the name Ameiurus melas (black bullhead). It matches the Rfam family "tRNA". From Rfam's summary of the family: Transfer RNA (tRNA) molecules are approximately 80 nucleotides in length. Lineage: Eukaryota; Metazoa; Chordata; Actinopteri; Siluriformes; Ictaluridae. The record is from Rfam by way of RNAcentral.
GCAUUGGUGGUUCAGUGGUAGAAUUCUAGCUUGCAAUGUUGGAGGCCUGGGUUCGAUUCCCAGCCAAUGCA